Small nuclear RNA from Rhinolophus ferrumequinum (greater horseshoe bat), 84 nucleotides. Its record names the gene U4. It matches the Rfam family "U4 spliceosomal RNA". Rfam says of the family: U4 small nuclear RNA (U4 snRNA) is a component of the major U2-dependent spliceosome. NCBI's taxonomy places the organism in Eukaryota, Metazoa, Chordata, Mammalia, Chiroptera, Rhinolophidae. The record is from Ensembl.
AGUUUUGCGCAGUGGCAGUAUUGUAGCCAAUGAGGUUUAUCUGAGGCGCGAUUAUUGCUCAUUGAAAAAAAUACAACAUCUCCC